AAGUCGUAACAAGGUUUCCGUAGGUGAACCUGCGGAAGGAUCAUUAACAAAUCUAUAGAGUGGGGAAGGGAUAAAACUCUUUUUCACUCUUUUUCAACACCUUGUGAAUUGUUAACUAGUUUUCCUUCGGGCUUAAUUGCCCGACGGUAUUUUUUAACCCCUUGAUUUUCUUGGACGUAAAAAUUACUAAAUUAUUUACAACUUUUAACAAUGGAUCUCUUGGCUCUU
RNAcentral lists this unclassified non-coding RNA (228 nucleotides) under Phylloporus sp. RNAcentral's name for it is "partial contains small subunit ribosomal RNA, internal transcribed spacer 1, and 5.8S ribosomal RNA". The stretch from base 1 to 46 matches the Rfam family "Eukaryotic small subunit ribosomal RNA", at positions 1786 to 1831 of the family's 1831-position model. Lineage: Eukaryota; Fungi; Basidiomycota; Agaricomycetes; Boletales; Boletaceae. The record is from RNAcentral.